Molecule: non-coding RNA, 1228 nt
Organism: Peromyscus maniculatus bairdii (prairie deer mouse)
Lineage: Eukaryota; Metazoa; Chordata; Mammalia; Rodentia; Cricetidae
Source: RefSeq, a predicted model, not a curated record
AGACAAUGCUGUUUGCUUCUGAAGCUUCCAAGAAAACUUCUCCUCAGGGAGCAUCCCCAGAGUUCUUUGCAGAUUUCUAAUCCUGGCAUGGUGCUUUCAAAAAUCCAAGGGCCGGAUCAUCAUGGUUGUGGAACGAAGCACUAAAACAGUACCACCCCAGCAGAAGCGACGCAAAUGACGCUUUUUGAACAAGUGCAAGUAAUCGGAAUGAAGGAAACUCAUGCAAACCAACUUUCAGUGUGAAGGGCUGGGACUACACUUCCCACUGUAAUUAUGCAGAGCCUCUAAGCUUGGAUUUUAAGAUAAAGUCAGGCCUGGAUACAAAUUCAGAAUUGCAUCUUACAUCUGUAACUGAGAACAGAACAAUUAUCAGCGUGAUGUCAGAUGCUUAGACAGCUGUCACUUAAAAGAGCUGUACCUAAGGGACUAAUUGCUAAAGAAAGAGAAAGCUGUCCAGCUGCUGUCCGACAGGAACAUGAGCAUUGUCUUGCAGAAACCUCAGAAAAGGUUAGAUGAAGUAACAUUAGUUCCCCCUGCUUUCAACUUUAGAAGUCAUUCGUUGGAGUAACAAAUAGGAAAUGCAUUAUAAAGUGAACUGGGAGGAUGAGGAGAUGGCUCCGUCAGUAAAGUGCCCGCCUGAAAACAUGAAGACCUGAUUUCAGAUGCCCCGAACCCAUGUGAAAUGCAGGACUUAACCCCAGCACUAGUGGAGUGGAGACAGCCAGAUCCCUGAAGCUCAUUGGCAAGCUAGCCUAGCCUAAUCAUGGUUCUCAGAUUCAUCGAGAGACUCCCUCAAAAGCCUCAGAUGAUCCACGUGGGUCUUCUCAUAACAUUUAAACGUACAAAGUGAGGAUUGCCACUCAUCUGAUAAAGCUUUGCCCGGCCCUUCCUGAAGUACUAAAAAUGCCAACUUGACUCCAUUUUCCCAAGGAUCCUGUCACCUUCAUGUCAUUCACCACGUGAAGAAGCAGCUAGUGUUUUCGUUUGUCAUUGUCAAGGUUAGAGCCCAAGCAGAGGAAGCAUUUAUCAACUCUGCUGCUAGCAUCUGUUCUACAAUGACUACAUGAAAGAACAGAAACAGAUAACCAGAAGAGAGGUUAAUACUGUUUUUAACCCACCUACCCUACAGGAAAGAUCAUAACUCAAUUCUUUAAAACAAAAGCCUUCUCUUCCAUCCUUGCAAAUGUCUACAAUGGGGGAGGUACUGGUCCAUCCAAAGUUCACUCUA